This 541-nucleotide ribosomal RNA is filed under the name uncultured Alphaproteobacteria bacterium. RNAcentral describes it as "bacterial SSU rRNA". It matches the Rfam family "Bacterial small subunit ribosomal RNA", at positions 964 to 1504 of the family's 1533-position model. The record is from RNAcentral. Lineage: Bacteria; Pseudomonadati; Pseudomonadota; Alphaproteobacteria.
CAGAACCUUACCAGCUUUUGACAUGUCCGGUAUGAUCGCCAGAGAUGGCUUUCUUCCCGCAAGGGGCCGGAACACAGGUGCUGCAUGGCUGUCGUCAGCUCGUGUCGUGAGAUGUUGGGUUAAGUCCCGCAACGAGCGCAACCCUCGCCUUCAGUUGCCAUCAUUCAGUUGGGCACUCUGGAGGGACUGCCGGUGAUAAGCCGGAGGAAGGUGGGGAUGACGUCAAGUCCUCAUGGCCCUUACAGGCUGGGCUACACACGUGCUACAAUGGCGGUGACAGAGGGACGCGAAUGGGCGACCAUAAGCAAAUCUCAAAAAGCCGUCUCAGUUCGGAUUGCACUCUGCAACUCGAGUGCAUGAAGUUGGAAUCGCUAGUAAUCGCGGAUCAGCACGCCGCGGUGAAUACGUUCCCGGGCCUUGUACACACCGCCCGUCACACCAUGGGAGUUGGUUUUACCCGAAGGCGUUCUGCUAACCGCAAGGAGGCGGACGACCACGGUAGGGUCAGCGACUGGGGUGAAGUCGUAACAGGGUAGCCGUA